GGAGUUGUGGCUAAGUGGUACAGCGCUUACCUAGCAUUUGUAAGACACAGGGUUCAAUUCUCAGCACCCCA
RNAcentral lists this transfer RNA (71 nucleotides) under Marmota monax (woodchuck). RNAcentral's name for it is "tRNA.Ala". The record is from RNAcentral. Lineage: Eukaryota; Metazoa; Chordata; Mammalia; Rodentia; Sciuridae.